This 62-nucleotide transfer RNA is filed under the name Erianthus versicolor. Its description in RNAcentral is "tRNA-Leu". The record is from RNAcentral. Lineage: Eukaryota; Metazoa; Arthropoda; Insecta; Orthoptera; Chorotypidae.
ACUAUUUUGGCAGAUAAAUGCGUUGGAAUUAGAAUCCAUUAAUGUAUAAAUUACAUAUAGUA